Long non-coding RNA from Pristis pectinata (smalltooth sawfish), 342 nucleotides. RefSeq lists it as uncharacterized. The record is from RefSeq and is a predicted model, not a curated record. Lineage: Eukaryota; Metazoa; Chordata; Chondrichthyes; Rhinopristiformes; Pristidae. The transcript has 3 exons.
CAGAAAUCCUCAAAAGGCGGCAGAGAAAGAGAGGAGGAAUUUGUGGAUUACUCUACCGUUCAUCUUUGUUUAAGGAAACUAAAUUGGGGUAAUAUUAUGCCAGUCUACCUGCCGUAUGUCUGGUCAGCAGGAGGAGAAAGGCGCCGACAUCCCACCGCAGCAACAGGGUGAAGUGUGAAGGAAGGCGUGGGGACGGAGGGAAUCCUGGGUCAGCCGAUGGACACACAGGACAGCCGAAUGAGGAAGCAGACUUCAAACUUUAUGGACUCACAAAAUGUUUCAGACUUUAUAAAUUUGCUGGUGAAAAUUGUGUACUAGAGAAUGAGAUCUAGAGAGAUUCCA